GAUGAAGAACGCAGCGAAAUGCGAUACGUAAUGUGAAUUGCAGAAUUCAGUGAAUCAUCGAAUCUUUGAACGCAUAUUGCGCUCUCUGGUAUUCCGGAGAGCAUGCUUGUUUGAGUAUCAGUAAACACCUCAACUUCCAUAUCUUUUUUGAAAUGGGAGUUGGACUUGAGUGAUCCCAACGCUUUUCCUCACCGAAAAGUGGCGGGUUACUUGAAAUGCAGGUGCAGCUGGACUUUUCUCUGAGCCAUAAGCAUAUCUAUUUAGUCUGCCUAAAAAACAGAUUAUUACCUUUGCUGCAGCUAACAUAAAGGAGAUUAGUUCUUGUGCUGACUGAUGCAGGAUUCACAAAGACAGGCUUCGGCCGACUUUGUAAACUCGAUCUCAAAUCAAGUAAGACUACCCGCUGAACUUAAGCAUAUCAAUAAGCGGAGGA
Molecule: unclassified non-coding RNA, 433 nt
Filed under: soil metagenome
Description: partial contains 5.8S ribosomal RNA, internal transcribed spacer 2, and large subunit ribosomal RNA
Rfam family: 5.8S ribosomal RNA (bases 1-120)
Source: RNAcentral